RNAcentral lists this unclassified non-coding RNA (305 nucleotides) under plant metagenome. RNAcentral describes it as "partial contains 5.8S ribosomal RNA, internal transcribed spacer 2, and large subunit ribosomal RNA". The stretch from base 1 to 105 matches the Rfam family "5.8S ribosomal RNA", at positions 50 to 154 of the family's 154-position model. The record is from RNAcentral.
GAAAUGCGAUAAGUAAUGUGAAUUGCAGAAUUCAGUGAAUCAUCGCAUCUUUGAACGCACAUUGCGCCCGCCAGUAUUCUGGCGGGCAUGCCUGUUCGAGCGUCAUUUCAACCAUCAAGCCCCCGGCUUGUGUUGGGGACCUGCGGCUGCCCGCAGGCCCUGAAAAACAGUGGCGGGCUCGCUGUCACACCGAGCGUAGUAGCAUACAUUCUCGCUCAGGGCGUGCUGCGGGUUCCGGCCGUUAAACGACCUUCAUAACCCAAGGUUGACCUCGGAUCAGGUAGGAAGACCCGCUGAACUUAAGC